AUGCAAAAAAUUCUGAGGGAAUAUCUAAUACAAGAAGCAAAUAUUUCUGGAGGAUUGCCAAAAGAGAAGAUAGACUCAGCUGCAAUAACUGAAGGAAAGGAGGAGGAUGAAGCCACAGAGGUAGGAUUGAGAAAGUUUUGUAUUAUUUCAUCUUUUUUAUUUGCAGUUACUGGAGUUGUACUUAAUCUGCAGGUAGUGAAGGUGGUCAAAUGUGUUCAGCGACUAGCAGAAAUAAGGCCUGCAACAAAAAGGUAGAAUACUGGGAGUCAGAAGGGGGAGGGGAAAAUGCCUGUAAUAUUUUCCCCAAAGAUUAAUGAAAAAUUACUUUGCUGAGUUUUGACAAAAACAUGGAAUGUUAUUUGGUUUCUUUAAACUUCUAGAUAAGUAAAUAGAUAGAGAUGCCAAGGAUAGCCAAAGGAUCUAAAAUCCAAAAGGCAAGCUUUUAAAUCUGAAUGCAAACCAUAACAGCAACUUUUGAAACAGAGAAAACUCAGCAAUGCAGAUUAAACUGACAACCUCUCACCUUGCCACUCUCUUUGUGCAGGACCCUUGAGGUCUCUCUCAGUCCAACAAAUUUCAGUGCAUUCCCUGUUCACAGCAUGUUCCACUUUAAGUCCUUCUGGGACUUGGUGCUCACUUCUUUCCAUCACCUCUAAAGCUUAACUCUGCAUCUGUUCCCUACCAACACCAACACACUUGUGUUGCAGGUUUCUUGUUUUCUGCCUGUUUUCCCACCUUGUACUCCAGAAUCUGCUUUUCCUUAUUGAUUUUUGCACUUUCGGUUGCUUUACAAGAAGUAACAACUCCUGUUCUUGCCCGAGGGUCUCACCUUGGCCUGGGUCAGGGAGAUGUAAGCACAAAGCCUCCUCCCAUCCUCCCCACUGCAACCUUCUUAGCAGAACAGAACAUACAAAAAAAAACAAAAAACAAAACAAAAAAAAAAAACAGAUGCCAUCCAUCUUAGAAACAUUUCAUUUCUGAGUACAUGCUUCCUCCUGCCCUCACAUUUUAGACCACUAUGAAACAAGUACUUGGAACGUUUUAUUUUAAAGGGAAAAAAAAAAAAAAGGCCAAAUUAACAACAACAAAAAAUCCACUACUUUUUGGUCAAAAAGCUACUGUUUAUUAAAUGGUUUAUAUGGUGAUAGUUCUGAACCUGAUUUGAACUGUAAAAGUACCGAAGAAUCACCACAUACUGAUUGCUAAAGAAGCCAAUGAGUUUGCCCAUUGCAAUUCCAGGCAAGCAAAGAAUAUAGGUGUUAAUCAAAUUGGCAGUUGGUUUAGAAAACAGAGAAGACAACUAGAUUUUCAGUUAUGGCAGAAGAAAAGCUGAGGACCCAGUAAUGGGAACAAAUAUUUACUAAAGUAGGUGAAAAGGUAACUCACCUCCUAAAGCUUGUCAGCGUUAGUGAGAACUGCAGACAGGCUGCAGAAACAGUAAGUAUGUACUAACUUUGUGUGCCAUUUUAUUUUGAUCCAUCACAGACAGAAUUUAUUUUUCAAAUGGUGUGUGUCCAGCCAGUUUCACUACCUCUUCUCUUUUUAAAAUCAAAGCACUCUAAGUAAUAUAACUUACUCUAGGGGGAAGAAAAAAAGAAAGGUAAAAAGAAAGAAAAAAAUGGAAGAAAAUAGGAGCAUAAUAUCUUGAUGAUUUCUUAAGAGAUCUCUUCUCACAAUUAUAGGAAUCUUACAAAGGAAAUUGAUGUAUCUUCCUUUCUUCUUUGCGUGUUCUUGGUACCACAAGCUGUGCACAGCAUGCUUUCAAUUAAUUUAAACUAACUUUCCAUCUGCUCCAACAAAUGUAGGAUUUGAGUGAAAGACAGUAUGAUGGAGUGACGUGAAAUACGCUAAUAGCAAACGCUAAUGUGAGAGCCAGUCUUCUGUGGAAAAUGUAACACACAGUGCACUCUUUUUAGUCCAUAUUAAAGACUCACUUUAGUGAAAAAUGUUUAUUGUUUUCAAUAUUUGCCUAAUCAAGAUGGGGAACUAAAGCUUUAGUGAAGGAGACGGAGUUUUACAUUUUACAGAGCAUAGUAAUUUGAAGAACAGGAUGUAUCAGAUCGAUUCCUUUUUAAUUGCUACUUUCAUCAAGCUUUGUUAUGGAAUUAUUUCAAAGUGUUUCUACAUUUAAAACAAAAGAACACAAAAAUGCUGAAUAUGAUUAGAGGUUGGAAUGCUUUGUCUUUGUUAUCUGUUCAAUCAGAAUAGUAUGUAUUUUGUGAAUAUUUUGUUUUUCCCUGACAAAUUAAAGUUCCAACAUUUAAAAGAUGUUUAAAUUAGAAAAGCCAAGCAAAAUAUACACAAUGUCUACAUUCAAGUAAUGACACGGACUAAAUUAUAGUAACUAUGUACGAUAGAAACCUUUUACUAUUGAAUGUAUGCACUUUACAGACAUUACUGUAGUCCUUUUUUUUUUUUUUUUUUUUUUUUACAAUUUCUUUUUUCCUUUUAGUAUAAGUUAGGAACCUAACUAGUUCUGGCACUCACCUUUCAAGCAAUAACCAUUUAAAGCCAUGUGAUAAUUAAAUUCUACCUGCAGCACGAUUUUGUUCCCUAUUGAACCCUUGAGAAUAGGGCUAUGGCCUUUUUACCAAUUUAAAUUAGCAUGUGAAUUUGCAAAGGAGAAUUUAUUUUGGAUCCUGGUUCCUCCUCCCAGUAUUUCUCACAUUAAGUACUGUACUUUUUAACCCUGGUUUGUCCACUUUGAUCAAAUAGCCACAAGAUUAUAGACUUGGUGAGAUGCACAGUGAAGCGUGGUGGCAGCAUUAGUAUGAACAACAGCAAGUAGGAGAUAAUGAGCUUAUUCUUGGUAGUUAUUACCUCAAAACCAAUACCACUUGCACUUAAAAGUAGAGUUCCAUAGAGGAUAAUUCUAUGUAAUUUUGUGCAGAUCCCCAGGAAACAAUGUCAUAUUUUCAUGACAAUUAUGUGCCCAAGUUCAAACUUGCAGUAAAGGUACCUCUCAGCUGCUGCAGUCUGCAGCUGCCACCUCUUGCCAGGUCAGUGCUUGAGGAAUUUUAACAGUUUUCUUUAGAGCUGCCCUCAUUCUUGGCAAGGCUGUGCCAGAGCUGACUUGUGGGUGUCCUCAGAGCCUACCUACAGAUCAAGCAAUGUAAAAGAUACACAGUAGAUGAAGGAAAGGGUCCCUCGAAGUGAGAAGUUAAACACAGAAUUUCUUUCCUUGGGAGAAUAUAAGCACCUUACAUCUAAUCUCUAGCAGCAGUGUGCCCUCCACACCAGUUUAUGGCAAUUUGGGGAGACACAACCUGUCAGAGCUGUUCUAUUCUGCAGAAAAGAGUUAAAGAUUUCUCAGGGUGAGAUGGUAUAUGAGCAGGAACUGUUUAAUUUCCUUUAGAUCCCUUUUGGUUUGCCACAAGCAGACCCAAAUAAAGAGAAGUGUGUUUGUCA
Molecule: long non-coding RNA, 3408 nt
Filed under: Anas platyrhynchos platyrhynchos (common mallard)
Lineage: Eukaryota; Metazoa; Chordata; Aves; Anseriformes; Anatidae
Description: lncRNA (ENSAPLG00000021145.1)
Source: RNAcentral